UACGUAGGGUGCGAGCGUUAAUCGGAAUUACUGGGCGUAAAGCGUGCGCAGGCGGCUUUGCAAGACAGAUGUGAAAUCCCCGGGCUUAACCUGGGAACUGCAUUUGUGACUGCAUAGCUAGAGUACGGUAGAGGGGGAUGGAAUUCCGCGUGUAGCAGUGAAAUGCGUAGAUAUGCGGAGGAACACCGAUGGCGAAGGCAGUCCCCUGGACCUGUACUGACGCUCAUGCACGAAAGCGUGGGGAGCAAACAGG
RNAcentral lists this ribosomal RNA (253 nucleotides) under uncultured bacterium. RNAcentral's name for it is "partial 16S ribosomal RNA". It matches the Rfam family "Bacterial small subunit ribosomal RNA", at positions 524 to 776 of the family's 1533-position model. The record is from RNAcentral.